Molecule: transfer RNA, 112 nt
Organism: Botryobasidium botryosum FD-172 SS1
Lineage: Eukaryota; Fungi; Basidiomycota; Agaricomycetes; Cantharellales; Botryobasidiaceae
Rfam family: tRNA
About the family: Transfer RNA (tRNA) molecules are approximately 80 nucleotides in length. Their secondary structure includes four short double-helical elements and three loops (D, anti-codon, and T loops). Further hydrogen bonds mediate the characteristic L-shaped molecular structure. tRNAs have two regions of fundamental functional importance: the anti-codon, which is responsible for specific mRNA codon recognition, and the 3' end, to which the tRNAs corresponding amino acid is attached (by aminoacyl-tRNA synthetases). tRNAs cope with the degeneracy of the genetic code in two manners: having more than one tRNA (with a specific anti-codon) for a particular amino acid; and 'wobble' base-pairing, i.e. permitting non-standard base-pairing at the 3rd anti-codon position.
Source: Rfam
UGCCCCGUGGCCUAAUUGGUUAAGGCGUCCGACUGUUAGGACAACCGGAGAUACUUCGCAUCAUCCUCGGAUGAUCAUCGGGAGAUUGAGAGUUCAAUCCUCUCCGGGGCAG